RNAcentral lists this unclassified non-coding RNA (234 nucleotides) under Hevea brasiliensis (rubber tree). The record is from RNAcentral. Lineage: Eukaryota; Viridiplantae; Streptophyta; Magnoliopsida; Malpighiales; Euphorbiaceae.
CGCAUCUCCGAAGCGCCGUCCUAUGGCAAGCCGGUUCUGGUCUACGAUCUCAAGUGCGUCGGCAGCGAAGCGUAUCUGAAACUCGCGACUGAAGUCAUUCAGCGCGAGCGCGAGUUGCGCACGCACUAGGUAGCCAUCGUCACCCAGAGGUGCCGCAGCGAAGCGAAGGCCUCGAAGGGUGACAGAACAAUGCAACCGCCAUCCUUCGAGGCUCGCAAGGGCUUGCACCUCAGG